GGCUCUAUGGUCAAGCGGUUAAGACUCCGCCCUCUCACGGCGGCAACUCGGGUUCGAAUCCCGAUAGAGUCACCA
This 75-nucleotide transfer RNA is filed under the name Bacillota bacterium. Its description in RNAcentral is "tRNA-Glu". It matches the Rfam family "tRNA". Rfam says of the family: Transfer RNA (tRNA) molecules are approximately 80 nucleotides in length. Their secondary structure includes four short double-helical elements and three loops (D, anti-codon, and T loops). The record is from RNAcentral. Lineage: Bacteria; Bacillati; Bacillota. RNAcentral also lists the same sequence under 4 other names.